Small nucleolar RNA from Takifugu rubripes (torafugu), 71 nucleotides. The record is from Ensembl. Lineage: Eukaryota; Metazoa; Chordata; Actinopteri; Tetraodontiformes; Tetraodontidae.
UGAGAAAUGAUGCAAAAUGAGCAACACCUGAGCUUUGCUGAUGUUGGUUGUAUUCGUACUGUCUGAUCUGA